This 253-nucleotide ribosomal RNA is filed under the name uncultured bacterium. Its description in RNAcentral is "partial 16S ribosomal RNA". It matches the Rfam family "Bacterial small subunit ribosomal RNA", at positions 524 to 776 of the family's 1533-position model. The record is from RNAcentral.
UACGGAGGGUGCAAGCGUUGUUCGGAAUUACUGGGCGUAAAGCGCGUGUAGGCGGACUCAGAAGUCGGGUGUGAAAGCCCCGGGCUUAACUCGGGAAGUGCGCUCGAAACCAUGGGUCUUGAGGUCCGGAGGGGAUCGGGGAAUUCCCAGUGUAGAGGUGAAAUUCGUAGAUAUUGGGAGGAACACCGGUGGCGAAGGCGCCGAUCUGGACGGAUUCUGACGCUGAGACGCGAAAGCGUGGGGAGCAGACAGG